GAUGAACGCUGGCGGCGUGCCUAAUACAUGCAAGUCGAGCGAACAGAUGAGGAGCUUGCUCCUCUGACGUUAGCGGCGGACGGGUGAGUAACACGUGGAUAACCUACCUAUAAGACUGGGAUAACUUCGGGAAACCGGAGCUAAUACCGGAUAAUAUAUUGAACCGCAUGGUUCAAUAGUGAAAGACGGUUUUGCUGGCACUUAUAGAUGGAUCCGCGCCGCAUUAGCUAGUUGGUAAGGUAACGGCCUACCAAGGCAACGAUGCGUAGCCGACCUGAGAGAGUGAUAGGCCACACUGGAACGGAGACACGGUCCAGACUCCUACGGGAGGCAGCAGUAGGGAAUCUUCCGCAAUGGGCGAAAGCCUGACGGAGCAACGCCGCGUGAGUGAUGAAGGUCUUCGGAUCGUAAAACUCUGUUAUUAGGGAAGAACAAAUGUGUAAGUAACUAUGCACGUCUUGACGGUACCUAAUCAGAAAGCCACGGCUAACUACGUG
Molecule: ribosomal RNA, 497 nt
Filed under: uncultured bacterium
Lineage: Bacteria
Description: partial 16S ribosomal RNA
Rfam family: Bacterial small subunit ribosomal RNA
Source: RNAcentral